CCACCCUGCAGACUCUGGAGCCUCCCUGCCCAGGAUCUUUGAGUCUGGCCAUCCUGUUUCCACCCAUCUCUUAUGAUGGGAUGAGCUGAAUGUGCAUCCUCCAUAGGGCCAUGUCCAGGUACCAAGGAGAGUCCAAGAUCAGCUCCCCACAACAAAGCCAAGCUCAGAAUUUUAAGUAUCCCUUGCUCUCCUGGCUCCAGUGUUUUUGAAGACAAGACCCCUGCUACUGCCGCUGUCCUCCCCUCCUCUCUGGUUGCAUACUCUUAUUACAUCUGGGCCAUGAGCACCGCUGCUCUGCAGCUCACCGAG
Chinchilla lanigera (long-tailed chinchilla) is the source of this 309-nucleotide long non-coding RNA. RefSeq lists it as uncharacterized. The transcript has 3 exons. Lineage: Eukaryota; Metazoa; Chordata; Mammalia; Rodentia; Chinchillidae. The record is from RefSeq and is a predicted model, not a curated record.